GUCUUGUCCUUUUUUUGUCCUUAUUUUUUUUCCUUUAGGUUGUGCGGCCCAGGACUUGGCCAUACCAGGUAUAUAUGUUAUUGUUAAGGUCUUUUGUGUAUAUGUCUUGUCCUUUUUUUUUCCUUUAGGUUGUGCGGCCCAGGACUUGGCCAUACCAGGUAUAUAUGUUAUUGUUAAGGUCUUUGUGUAAGUCUCAUGUCCUUUUUUUGCCCCUAUUUUUUUCCUUUAGGUUGUGCAGCCCAGGACUUGGCCAUACCAGGUAUAUAUGUUAUUGUUAAGGUCUUUGUGCAUUUCUCAUGUCUUUUUGCCCCUAUUUUUUUUUCUCUUUAGGUUGUGCAGCCCAGGACUUGGCCAUACCAGGUAUAUAUGUUAUUGUUAAGUCUUUUGUGUAUAUGUCUUGUCCUUUUUUUUUCCUUUUUUUUUUAGGUUGUGCGGCCCAGGACUUGGCCAUACCAGGUAUAUAUGUUAUUGUUAAGGUCUUUGUGUAAGUCUCAUGUCCUUUUUUUGCCCCUAUUUUUUUCCUUUAGGUUGUGCAGCCCAGGACUUGGCCAUACCAGGUAUAUAUGUUAUUGUUAAGGUCUUUGUGCAUUUCUCAUGUCUUUUUGCCCCUAUUUUUUUUUCUCUUUAGGUUGUGCAGCCCAGGACUUGGCCAUACCAGGUAUAUAUAUGUUAUUGUUAAGGUCUUUUGUGUAUAUGUCUUUUUGUCCUUUUUUUUUCCUUUAGGAUGUACGGCCCAGGACUUCGCCAUACCAGGUAUAUAUGUUAUUGUUAAGGUCUUUCUGUAUGUCUCAUGUCCUUUUUUUGCCUCUAUUUUUUUCCCUUUAGGUUUUGCGGCCCAGGACUUGGCCAUACCAGGUAUAUAUGUUAAUGUUAAGGUCUUUGUGUAAGUUUCAUGUCCCUUUUUUUGCCCUUAUUUUUUUCCUUUAGGUUGUACAGCCCAGGACUUGGCCAUACCAGGUAUAUAUAUUAUUGUUAAGGUCUUUGUGUAUGUUUCAUGUCUUUUUUUUGCCCCUUUUUUUCCCCUUUAGGUUGUGUGGCCCAGGACUUGGCCAUACCAGGUAUAUAUGUUAUUGUUAAGGUCUUUGUGUAUAUGUCUUGUCCUUUUUUUGUCCUUUAUUUUUUCCUUUAGGUUGUGCGGCCCAGGACUUGGCCAUACCAGGUAUAUAUGUUAUUGUUAAGGUCUUUGUGUAUAUGUCUUGUCCUUUUUUUUCCUUUAGGUUGUUUGGCCCAGGACUUGGCCAUACCAGGUAUAUAUGUUAUUGUUAAGGUCUUUGUGUAUAUGUCUUGUCCUUUUUUUGUCCUUAUUUUUUUCCUUUAGGAUGUACGGCCCAGGACUUCGCCAUACCAGGUAUAUAUGUUAUUGUUAAGGUCUUUGUGUAAGUUUCAUGUCCUUUUUUUGCCCCUAUUUUUUUCCUUUAGGUUGUACAGCCCAGGACUUGGCCAUACCAGGUAUAUAUGUUAUUGUUAAGGUCUUUGUGCAUUUCUCAUGUCUUUUUGCCCCUAUUUUUUUUUCUUUAGGUUGUGCAGCCCAGGACUUGGCCAUACCAGAUAUAUAUGUUAUUGUUAAGGUCUUUGUGUGUGUCUCAUGUUCUUUUUUUGCCCCUAUUUUUUUCCUUUAGGUUGUGCGGCCCAGGAAUUGGCCAUACCAGGUAUAUGUGUUAUUGUUAAGGUCUUUGUGUAAGUUUCAUGUCAUUUUUUUGCCCCUAUUUUUUUCCUUUAGGUUGUACAGCCCAGGACUUGGCCAUACGAGGUAUAUAUGUUAUUGUUAAGGUCUUUGUGUGUGUUUCAUGUCUUUUAUUUGCCCCUUUUCUUUUCCUUUAGGUUGUGCAGCCCAGGACUUGGCCAUACCAGGUAUAUAUGUUAUUAUUAAGGUCUUUGUGUAAGUCUCAUGUCCUUUUUUUGCCCCUAUUUUUUUUCCUUUAGGUUGUGCAGCCCAGGACUUGGCCAUACCAGGUAUAUAUGUUAUUG
Molecule: long non-coding RNA, 1968 nt
Filed under: Mytilus galloprovincialis (Mediterranean mussel)
Lineage: Eukaryota; Metazoa; Mollusca; Bivalvia; Mytilida; Mytilidae
Source: RNAcentral